CGUGUGGGCUGAGGGGGGCGCUCAGCGGCAGAGCUCUGGCCUCGGAGGCAUGAGGACCUGGGUGCCACCCCCGCCACCAUGAGAAGAAAACAACCUGGGUUAAGUCUGUGCUGGAUGAAUGUCAUCAAUCUAAAGCCAUCAAGGACAUGUCAGAGCAAAAGGUAGACUUCCGUUGUUUCUGAGGGGGGCGCUCAGCGGCAGAGCUCUGGCCUCGGAGGCAUGAGGACCUGGGUGCCACCCCCGCCACCAUGAGAAGAAAACAACCUGGGUUAAGUCUGUGCUGGAUGAAUGUCAUCAAUCUAAAGCCAUCAAGGACAUGUCAGAGCAAAAGGUAGACUUCCGUUGUUUCCCUAAAGGUAACAGGGUAAGGGAGGGUAAGGAAGCAUCGUGGGAGACGCAGACAUAAUUAGAUGAGAGAGAGAGAGAGAGAGAGAGAGAGAGAGAGAGAGAGAGAGAGAGAAAGAGAUAGAGAGAGGACCUGCUGGGCUUUUCUCCGACCACGGAGACAGGGAGAACUGCAGGGGCUGUCAGGACUCCAGGGUUCCACUGUCCCCUUGCCCUGCCUAGAGAGUGCCAAGGGGUGUGACUGUGAUGAUUCCUUCCAACUGCAUGCAGGGGACAAAACAGCCUUGUCACGCCGCAAAAACAGAGCGAUGUUCGCGUAUCCCACCAUGAACUCCUGGCUUGGGCCGGUGGGUGGCUCUGGGCUCUGUUAGCGGAGUCUGCUUCCCACCCCGUACAGAGGGAUGUCACCUACCUCUGUCAUCUGCUGUGGUGACACUGACGGUCAGGUUCUGAGGAGGAUCUGGAAGGACAGACACAGGGAGGGUCAGGUGCAAAGUUGGCCUGUGGUCCUUAACAGCACCCCAGGAGCCCAGAGACAGAGCAGGAAGCAGGGCAGAAGAGGUGGUGUCCACCCUUGGCUUCCUGUCCCAGCACUCACAGGACACACUGAGCUGCACAGUCCUCUCCCUGGUCACACCAGCCUGAGGGAAGGUCACCCGACAGGAGACUCUGCGGCUAGUCAGGCACCAGCUACUCGGGAGAAGAGGCGGAGGCACGGGGCUGGGACCCUCGAGGGCGCGACACUGCGAUCUGCAGCUCUGAGGGUGCCAUCGUGAGACCCUUCACAGUUUUGUGUUUGCGUCUGUGUCUGUGUUCGGAGCUGAAGUCCGACGGCGGAGUGGAACCCGAAAGGCUGCUUUGGAACCGGAUCUCAGGAGUCCGCACUGCUCCACCUCCUCACCUCCUCCUUCCCAGAGAGCUUCUUGGCCCCACCGCAGCUCCUGUUACCCGAGUACCCUGAGCACAUUUAGGGGUCUGCCCUGCCCACCCUGAGCCCCAGAUUCUUUAAGGCUGAAGGAUGGGAUGUUAGCAAGCAAAAUAAGUAAAACGAUAUGGAUUUUAGCGUGCAGCUCAGUGGUACCGUGAUCGCCCCGCAUGUAUGAGGCCCUGGUCCCAUCCCAGCACCAAAAAAUCUAACAAAUAAGAAAUCUGCCAUGAAUAAAUCCUGUUCUGUGCACAGAUAUGAAUGUUCCUCAGCCACCAAAGGGAAUGGAGUCUGCUAUGUUAUAAAACUAGAAAACACGACCCUGAGUAGGCGAAGACAGACAGAUAAUGCAAGAAUCCGG
Long non-coding RNA from Fukomys damarensis (Damara mole-rat), 1631 nucleotides. NCBI's taxonomy places the organism in Eukaryota, Metazoa, Chordata, Mammalia, Rodentia, Bathyergidae. The record is from Ensembl.